RNAcentral lists this ribosomal RNA (468 nucleotides) under uncultured bacterium. RNAcentral describes it as "partial 16S ribosomal RNA". It matches the Rfam family "Bacterial small subunit ribosomal RNA", at positions 28 to 507 of the family's 1533-position model. The record is from RNAcentral.
GACGAACGCUGGCGGCGUGCUUAACACAUGCAAGUCGAACGGAAAGGCCCUGCUUUUGUGGGGUGCUCGAGUGGCGAACGGGUGAGUAACACGUGAGUAACCUGCCCUUGACUUUGGGAUAACUUCAGGAAACUGGGGCUAAUACCGGAUAGGAGCUCCUGCUGCAUGGUGGGGGUUGGAUAGUUUCGGCGGUUGGGGAUGGACUCGCGGCUUAUCAGCUUGUUGGUGGGGUAGUGGCUUACCAAGGCUUUGACGGGUAGCCGACCUGAGAGGGUGACCGGCAACAUUGGGACUGAGAUACGGCACAGACUAGUACGGGAGGCAGCAGUGGAGAAGAGUGCACAAUGGGCGGAAGCCUGAUGCGGCAACGCCGCGUGCGGGAUGAGGGCCUGCGGGUUGUAAACCGAUUUCGCCUGUGACGAAGCGUGAGUGACGGUAAUGGGUAAAGAAGCACCGGCUAACUACGUG